UGAAUCACAGGUUCCCAUAGGAUCACCAAAGUUAAGUAACAUCGAGCGUGGUUACUACCUUGAUGAGUGACCACUUGGGAGUACCAGGUGCUGCAAG
Acanthosepion pharaonis is the source of this 97-nucleotide non-coding RNA. The record is from the annotation of a GenBank genome assembly. Lineage: Eukaryota; Metazoa; Mollusca; Cephalopoda; Sepiida; Sepiidae.